NACUGAAGCUAAGCAGGGUUGAGCCUGGUCAGUACCUGGAUGGGAGACCUCCUGGGAAAAUUAGGUUGCUGCUGGAA
RNAcentral lists this ribosomal RNA (77 nucleotides) under Sinocyclocheilus anshuiensis. The record is from RNAcentral. Lineage: Eukaryota; Metazoa; Chordata; Actinopteri; Cypriniformes; Cyprinidae.